GUGUGUGUGUGUGUGUGUGUGUGUGUGUUUGGUGCUCUUGUCUUCAUAACCAUUCAGUUUUCCAGUUGGUGCUGGAGUUCUCAGGUGCGCUGGAUGACAGGUGUCUCCUAUCUGCUGAUUGCUUGGAGGAGUACUUUAGCGGGAGGCUGCCAGCACUUCGAUGCCAGAGUGUUUGCUUUAGUGGCUUUUACCUGAGGCUUUCUUUACCUUGAAGAGUUCCGACUUCGUUCCAGAGUUUCUCUGAGCAUCUGGAUUCUCAACUACUGAAUUAAGGAUCUAUCUUAUUGUGGAUUUUUUCCUCUCUACCGUCUGUACCGCUCGGACACGGACCAAGCUGGCGGCUUCCCGUUUUCUCCAACUCCUGGACCCAGGCAUCAGCAUACCCUGUUCCUUCCUCCAUCUCAAACAUCGGCACCUGAGCACCCUUUGGCUGACAUCAAGAUCACAACGAAGAAGACAACUGAACGAUCUUCCCUCGCAAGUUAAGACUCUGAAUCUCUAUCUCUCUCCCUGGUGGUUCAAGCUACAACAAUUUAGUAAGCCAUUUCUCAGAUACUCUACAUCUGGUCUGGUGCUGUGACAACUUCCUGGAGGGGUGCAUCAGUUGAGCUACUGCUGCCAACAACUUCAUGUUCUCCUUCAAUGGAUGAUACAGUUGGCCCUGUCUUUCAGUGUUUAACCCUGUCUCUCUCAUAGAUGUAGCUAUUGGCUGAGCUUUUACUGUGUCUAACUGCAUGUGCUCUCUUUGAUCCUGUAUAUUUCAAAACCGGCUCAGGUGUGUUUCUUUCCUAGAUGAAACCACUAAACGAACUACUGCCAUUAACUUUUCACUUAUAGAAAGUAUAAAAAGCACUCAUGGAUCAGUGUAUAUGUGUUGUUUUUGGUGCAUGCUCUGUCUUGUCAAACUCCCAGUCGGUCAUAGCAGAUGGCAGCUCACACUGAACCUAGUUCUGCUGCAGGAUUUUUCCUUUUAACCUCUUAAGCCCGAGGGUAUAUUUUCCAAAAAAUGUGUAUGGCAUUUCUCAACUUGUCCAAAGCCUACACUGCUAUUCUUGGUAUCAACUAACAGGUCCUGGAGGAUGAUGUGUAAAUUUGAGUACAUUAUUCUGGGCCUGAGUAAAUGAGGUUUAAAUGUAAAAAUGCAAAAAUAAAUUCUGCCUAACAAAACACAGAUGUUUCCAUACAAAACCUCUUACUCUUGCUGUAAAGAAGGAAAUAAACACAAUAAAUUGUAACUGCAACAUCUGAGUGACAUCUGUAGCCAGUCUGGUCUCAACAUGACAAGGAAUUGAAAUGUUAUACAUGUUUAGACAUUUUUGCAUGGUGUUUGAGCUGUGGUCAGUGGACAUAAGAAUGAAGUAGAUACUUUUGUAGAGGAGUCUCAGAUGAAGAUCUGGACAUAUGGCAAGUGUGUGUCAGUCUUACAGUUAAUCAGCUAUGAGUGUGUUGUUUCUAAAGAGGUCAAGUCCCCUUUGUAAGGGGACCCUCUGGCUUAAGAGGUUAGAGUUUUUAUUCCGUUGUCUACAUGUGCAUGUUCAGUAUGAGCAUCCUAGUAGUCCACUGUCCAUACAGGUUCGUCCAGGAGGAGUAAAUGUUGGAAGUCACUGACUCGAUGCAAUCUGCUGGGUUUCUUUAGAUGGGAAAACUUUUUAACCAAUUUGAAUAAUAUCUAAAGUUGACUGCAUUGUUAACUAGGAUCAGUUGGAAUAUAUGUACUUGACUUGUAUGAUUGGAUGGAUUGAAAUGACGUUUUCUGUAAAAGUGCUGUGAACAACUGAACUAAAAUAAAUACAACUAGUUUGUGGCUUACACUCUUA
Girardinichthys multiradiatus is the source of this 1817-nucleotide long non-coding RNA. RefSeq lists it as uncharacterized. The transcript has 2 exons. The record is from RefSeq and is a predicted model, not a curated record. Lineage: Eukaryota; Metazoa; Chordata; Actinopteri; Cyprinodontiformes; Goodeidae.